RNAcentral lists this transfer RNA (72 nucleotides) under Camelus bactrianus (Bactrian camel). It matches the Rfam family "tRNA". From Rfam's summary of the family: Transfer RNA (tRNA) molecules are approximately 80 nucleotides in length. Their secondary structure includes four short double-helical elements and three loops (D, anti-codon, and T loops). Further hydrogen bonds mediate the characteristic L-shaped molecular structure. tRNAs have two regions of fundamental functional importance: the anti-codon, which is responsible for specific mRNA codon recognition, and the 3' end, to which the tRNAs corresponding amino acid is attached (by aminoacyl-tRNA synthetases). tRNAs cope with the degeneracy of the genetic code in two manners: having more than one tRNA (with a specific anti-codon) for a particular amino acid; and 'wobble' base-pairing, i.e. permitting non-standard base-pairing at the 3rd anti-codon position. RNAcentral also lists the same sequence under 1 other name. The record is from Rfam by way of RNAcentral. Lineage: Eukaryota; Metazoa; Chordata; Mammalia; Artiodactyla; Camelidae.
GAGGCUAUAGCCCAGUGAUAGAGCACAUGCUUAGCAUGCACAAGGUCCUGGGUUUAAUCCCCAGUACUUCCA